CCGGGAAACCGGGGCUAAUACCGGAUAGUUCUUUUCCCCGCAUGGGGGAGAGUGGAAAGGCGGCUUCGGCUGCCACUUACAGAUGGACCCGCGGCGCAUUAGCUAGUUGGUGAGGUAACGGCUCACCAAGGCGACGAUGCGUAGCCGACCUGAGAGGGUGAUCGGCCACACUGGGACUGAGACACGGCCCAGACUCCUACGGGAGGCAGCAGUAGGGAAUCUUCCGCAAUGGACGAAAGUCUGACGGAGCAACGCCGCGUGAGUGAUGAAGGUUUUCGGAUCGUAAAGCUCUGUUGUUAGGGAAGAACAAGUGCCGUUCGAAUAGGGCGGCACCUUGACGGUACCUAACCAGAAAGCCACGGCUAACUACGUGCCAGCAGCCGCGGUAAUACGUAGGUGGCAAGCGUUGUCCGGAAUUAUUGGGCGUAAAGCGCGCGCAGGCGGUCUCUUAAGUCUGAUGUGAAAGCCCACGGCUCAACCGUGGAGGGUCAUUGGAAACUGGGGGACUUGAGUGCAGAAGAGGAAAGU
RNAcentral lists this ribosomal RNA (528 nucleotides) under Bacillus sp. JC45. Its description in RNAcentral is "bacterial SSU rRNA". It matches the Rfam family "Bacterial small subunit ribosomal RNA", at positions 149 to 662 of the family's 1533-position model. Lineage: Bacteria; Bacillati; Bacillota; Bacilli; Caryophanales; Bacillaceae. The record is from RNAcentral.